RNAcentral lists this unclassified non-coding RNA (402 nucleotides) under soil metagenome. RNAcentral describes it as "partial contains 5.8S ribosomal RNA, internal transcribed spacer 2, and large subunit ribosomal RNA". The stretch from base 1 to 120 matches the Rfam family "5.8S ribosomal RNA", at positions 35 to 154 of the family's 154-position model. The record is from RNAcentral.
GAUGAAGAACGCAGCGAAAUGCGAUACGUAGUGUGAAUUGCAGAAUUCCGUGAACCAUCGAAUCUUUGAACGCAAAUUGCGCUCGAGGCCUCGGCUAAGAGCAUGUCUGGCUCAGCGUCGGCUUACUACCCUCAAUCAAUUACCUUGUGAUGAUUGGUUGGAGCUGGCUUUCCGGUGUUCCAAUCAGGUUGCCGGUCAGCUGAAAAACAUUCACGCUGUGGAAGUCGCUUUCCCUUCAAAAAGGAAAGCCGAUUUCCGAUUUGGUAGGUGACCUUUGCCGGUUGCAUGCCUUCGUUGCUCGUUUUGGCUUUCAUGAUAGCGUGUGCAGGACGCCAUUUUGGCUUUCGACCUGAGCUCAGGCAAGAACACCCGCUGAACUUAAGCAUAUCAAUAAGCGGAGGA